This 1594-nucleotide long non-coding RNA is filed under the name Anser brachyrhynchus (Pink-footed goose). RNAcentral's name for it is "lncRNA (ENSABRG00000009898.1)". The record is from RNAcentral. Lineage: Eukaryota; Metazoa; Chordata; Aves; Anseriformes; Anatidae.
GAAGGGGAGAAGAAAAAAGAAAAAAAAACCUUCCUCGCAUGCAAAGAAAGCAGGGAUGACAGUGCGUGAGAAUGGCUGCUGGGGAAAAAAAGCCAUAGUCACAGGAAAUUACCUUAAUAGAGUGAAAAUUAAGAAACGACCGACAACGCAGUCUGUCUCCAGGAUACGAGCGGGGGAGAGAGAUCCUUAUUACUACUCUGAAUGCAACACGUUGUCUCAAAACCAUCUAUAGAGCUCCAGGCCCAGAGAUGUUCCCCUACCACAGAGGCUUACUGGUGUAACACAAAGCUGCAGCCAGGAAUUUGGCUGCCAGAAGCUUCCCUUUUUCCCCUGGAUGCUAUUGCAUACUUCACAAUUGAAAGCCGUAGCCAGAACCCAGAUGGCUCAAUCCAAGGUUACCCUCUCCACGGAGCUCUGUUGUGUCCUCUUCCUGCAUCCGUGGCCAUUCCAUUGAUUCACUGCAGCCAAGCUCAUUUUUGUUCAUGGACUUACACAAGUGUAUUGUCAUGCAAAUUGGGGAUGGAGGAUGCUGGUGGACACUCAGGAGGAGGAUGGCAUAGGGACAGGAGAGGUGCAGUAUGCACGUUGCAUUAAUCACUUGACUGCAGACUGGGGAACUCAGUCAUCAGCCAGAAAAGGAGCAACACAUUUCAUGUUUAGCCACCUCAUAUGGACACAGAACAAUGAACUUGCUUCACUGGCCAUGUCCUUUCUGUGUGUCAGCCAUGAAAGGAGAUGAAUACUCACCGAGUGUACUGAACACUUGCCCAGAAUGCCUAAAAACUGUGGGAUUGCAAAGGCUGUGCAGUGCUCCAGUCCAUAACUAAUCCAUUGUCAUGUGCUUACACAAUGCAGACACUGCCAGGGAUAAAACUCAAGACUGAGGACCUGGUCCAAAGUCUACUAAAGUCAAUGGUUGGUCUUGCAAGGACUAAAGCAAGAGCCCUCUUUAUGAGCACACUUUAGUGUAAUUGUAAGCAGGAGUAGUAAGUGCACAAAUUCCCUUUGGUCAUGCUAUUUGCAAGAGAAAGAGGCAAUCAUACACUGUCAACUUAUUAUACGUAUUUUUGAGAAGUUGAUGAACAUCAGCAGGCCACACUCACUACAGUUCAAUGGAGCUGACUGCAUAAAAAUCUAAUCCUCUUCCAAUUUAAGUCAGAGGAAGUGCUCUCACUGAUUUCAAAAUGACAAAAUCUUUGGCUCAGUGUGACUACUGAAGGUGACAAAGGUGAGCCUUAACUUAAGUGAACGUGAAGAGAGCGGAAAAGAAUGGGGUGGUGACAAGGGACAGGACAGAGUAAAAGUCAGCUCCUGCAGAAUGGACUUGUGGUGGUUGCACUUGGAUGAGCUUUUCUAAAACACAGAAACAAAAUCUCCAUCCUGCCAAAACAAUGUGAGCUAUGCUAGACCUGUAAAUAGGAAGGCAUUAAAAAUAGGCUCUAAUUGUCUUGAAAUGGCCCUCCUCUAAGCGGUGGCAUUCUUUACCUGUAGCCAAGCAGCGCCUGUAAAAGCCUCAGCUCUUUCCUAUGUUUGCACACAUCAAAGAAAUGACUCCCAGUAUGAUCCUCACAAGCAAAGCAUCCUCAUGAUCAAU